UCCUUUUAUAACAUCAAAUCCACAAUCCUUUUUUCAAGUCAUCCAAUAUAUCAAAAAAUGAGAUGAAAUCAACAUCAAAAUUAGGUUUCUCCAUGAACCUACCAUUUUCAUAUAUUCUAUUUGGUGAAAAUAUAAAAUGACCUUCAUAAUGAUACCUCAUUGUCUUCUGACUAGUAUUCCCUAAAAAAAAAAAUUAAAGUUAGCCAUAUAAUUAUUUAUGAAAACAACUUAAAAUUUAUAAAUCACAUAAAUAUUAUUUACCUUGAAAAUUUGAAGCCUGAUUUUGGUAUAACUCUUGAGUUUCUUGAAAGUUCUGGUUAACAUUAUUUUCAGUCUCAUUUUCCA
This 345-nucleotide long non-coding RNA is filed under the name Manihot esculenta (cassava). RNAcentral's name for it is "long non-coding RNA (MESC_LNC004369)". The record is from RNAcentral. Lineage: Eukaryota; Viridiplantae; Streptophyta; Magnoliopsida; Malpighiales; Euphorbiaceae.